RNAcentral lists this long non-coding RNA (585 nucleotides) under Arachis ipaensis. RNAcentral's name for it is "long non-coding RNA (AIPA_LNC000997)". Lineage: Eukaryota; Viridiplantae; Streptophyta; Magnoliopsida; Fabales; Fabaceae. The record is from RNAcentral.
ACUCAUCUCAUCCCCUUCUAAAUCAAAGUUCACAAUACGGACAAACCAAAACCCUAGCCUCCUCCUCAACGAUUCUACUACCGCCGUGCGUGGUUGUCGGCGCCUCCGUGGGUUCCUCCUUCCCCCUUUCCCGAGCCAAAACCCAGGACCUCUAUUCUAGCGCGGCACGUCAUCCCCAUCCCUGGCUUCUCUGUUCAAGCCUUGGAGCAGCUCGCCGUCGUCUCGUCGCCGUUUCGUUUACAACCCAGAAAAAAUAAACAAAGCUUCGGUAGCGCUGAGAGCCCCUUGCCCCCUUCUCUCCUUCUCCUUGCCCCCAUCCCUGGCUCUGUUUGUUUAAUUUUGCUUCGCAUCCGCUCCUUCCUUUUAAUUUUGCCAUGGUUAGUGGUUACUGAUGAGUGAUGAGUGAUGGCUCUGUUUAAUUUUGUUUCUGGUUACUGAUGGGUUUGUUUAAUUUUGCUUCGCAUUCGCUUCUUCCUUUUAAUUUGCUCUGUUUACUGAUAAGUGAUGGCUCUGUUUAAUUUCUGAAUGCUUUGUUCUUCUUGUUCUUUUUAAUUUCUGGAAUUUUUGUUCAAAUUUGUGUGUAAU